Molecule: long non-coding RNA, 502 nt
Organism: Perca fluviatilis (European perch)
Lineage: Eukaryota; Metazoa; Chordata; Actinopteri; Perciformes; Percidae
Exons: 5
Source: RefSeq, a predicted model, not a curated record
AGUUGUCUCCCUAGAGAAAGCUACCACCUGUGGCAGCAAGGGGAAUGUCCAGCGCCUGAGUUGUGAUGACUGAGUGAUCAGUGUGCAGACAGCACUGUAUGGACGUGCAGACGCUGUGACCUGCAGUGAGGGAAGACCUCCGGCACAGCUCUCCAAUACACACUGCUCUCAAGCUGGCACAGUGGACGUUGUCAAGAAAAGGUGUGAUGGCAAGAGGGAGUGUGAACUAAACAUCAAUAUAUUUACUACUUCUGAUCCCUGCAAACGCAUCUACAAAUACCUGAACACCACAUACACCUGCCUCCCAGCAACUGUAAUGGGGAAAAACGGCUGUACCAUCGCAGCGAGCAACUCUGUGUUUGGAAACCCCUGCGUCGGCACUUACAAGUACCUGGAGGUGGCUUACACAUGUAACUGACAAUCCUGAGACCUCUCCACUUACUUUACCUAUGUAAGCAUACUGAAGUUUCAGUCAUAUCACAAUAAACAUGCAUUAAAUAAA